UGCCGCCUUUCCCCGGCUGCGAGGGGACGGUGUCGGCGGCGCCGGGGCGAGGCGGGGCCUUGUCACCCUCCUGCCCGGAGGCGGGCGCUCUGGCUCCUCACCACAGGCCGCAGAGGGCCGUCUCCUGCCCUGACAAAUGACUUAGUAUCUGCUGUAGCUGCUUCAGGCAGUCUGAACUUGUUCAGUGGUCAUUUCAGUGGUGGAAAAAGGAAAAUGACAAACACUGAGAAGUGCACAGGGAAGGGACAGAAGGAAUUUCACCAUAACCAAAGAAAACACUGUAGUGCCACGCUUGAGAGAAGGAACUUUAAAGUACAAUA
This is a long non-coding RNA of Athene cunicularia (burrowing owl), 320 nucleotides long. RefSeq lists it as uncharacterized. The transcript is spliced from 3 exons. Lineage: Eukaryota; Metazoa; Chordata; Aves; Strigiformes; Strigidae. The record is from RefSeq and is a predicted model, not a curated record.